This 909-nucleotide ribosomal RNA is filed under the name uncultured bacterium. RNAcentral describes it as "bacterial SSU rRNA". It matches the Rfam family "Bacterial small subunit ribosomal RNA", at positions 8 to 916 of the family's 1533-position model. The record is from RNAcentral.
AGAGUUUGAUCAUGGCUCAGGAUGAACGCUAGCGGCAGGCUUAAUACAUGCAAGACGAACGGUAACUGUUGUAGCAAUACAAUAGCUAGAGUGUCGUACGGGUGCGUAACACGUAUGCAACCUACCUUGUACAGGAGGAUAGCUCGGGGAAACUCGAAUUAACCCUCCAUAACAUCAUGGAAUGGCAUCAUUUUAUGAUUAAAACUUCGGUGGUACAAGAUGGGCAUGCGUCUGAUUAGUUAGUUGGCGGUGUAACGGACCACCAAGACGAUGAUCAGUAGGGGACCUGAGAGGGUGAUCCCCCACACUGGCACUGAGAUACGGGCCAGACUCCUACGGGAGGCAGCAGUAGGGAAUAUUGGUCAAUGGGUGAGAGCCUGAACCAGCCAUGCCGCGUGCAGGAAGAAGGCGUUAUGCGUUGUAAACUGCUUUUGCCAGGGGAUAAAAUAACUGUGCGCAGUUGAUUGAAGGUACCUGGUGAAUAAGCCACGGCUAACUACGUGCCAGCAGCCGCGGUAAUACGUAGGUGGCAAGCGUUGUCCGGAUUUAUUGGGUUUAAAGGGUGCGUAGGUGGCUAUCUAAGUCAGUGGUGAAAUAUCUCAGCUUAACUGAGAGGGUGCCAUUGAUACUGGAUAGCUUGAGUACAGAUGAGGUAGGCGGAAUUGACGGUGUAGCGGUGAAAUGCAUAGAUAUCGUCAAGAACACCGAUAGCGAAGGCAGCUUACCAAGCUGUAACUGACACUGAGGCACGAAAGUGUGGGGAUCAAACAGGAUUAGAUACCCUGGUAGUCCACACUGUAAACGUUGAUGACUCGAUGUUGGCGAUACACAGCCAGCGUCCAAGAGCAAUCGUUAAGUCAUCCACCUGGGGAGUACGCCGGCAACGGUGAAACUCAAAGGAAUUGACGG